GUGUCUGUAGCCUAGUGGUAAAGGCAGCACUCUAGUAUGUGUCUCAGUUAGCACUGAGGUCAUGGGUUCAAAUCCCAUCAGACACA
Melampsora larici-populina 98AG31 is the source of this 86-nucleotide transfer RNA. It matches the Rfam family "tRNA". Rfam says of the family: Transfer RNA (tRNA) molecules are approximately 80 nucleotides in length. Their secondary structure includes four short double-helical elements and three loops (D, anti-codon, and T loops). The record is from Rfam. Lineage: Eukaryota; Fungi; Basidiomycota; Pucciniomycetes; Pucciniales; Melampsoraceae.